This 164-nucleotide ribosomal RNA is filed under the name Festuca rothmaleri. RNAcentral's name for it is "5.8S ribosomal RNA". The stretch from base 1 to 143 matches the Rfam family "5.8S ribosomal RNA". From Rfam's summary of the family: 5.8S ribosomal RNA (5.8S rRNA) is a component of the large subunit of the eukaryotic ribosome. The record is from RNAcentral. Lineage: Eukaryota; Viridiplantae; Streptophyta; Magnoliopsida; Poales; Poaceae.
GGAUAUAUCGGCUCUCGCAUCGAUGAAGAACGUAGCAGAAUGCGAUACCUGGUGUGAAUUGCAGAAUCCCGCGAACCAUUGAGUCUUUGAACGCAAGUUGCGCCCCAGGCCUUUUGGCCGAAGGCACGCCUGCCUGGGGGUCACGCCAAACACGCUCCCACCCC